RNAcentral lists this long non-coding RNA (471 nucleotides) under Mus musculus (house mouse). RNAcentral describes it as "long non-coding RNA chr18:23762108-23762579". Lineage: Eukaryota; Metazoa; Chordata; Mammalia; Rodentia; Muridae. The record is from RNAcentral.
GUUACAUAGUAAAUUCCAGGCAAGCAUGGGUUACACAAUGAGAAUUCAUUUUUAAAAAAUAAUAAUCAGCAAUAAAGCAAAAACAUCUUCUUAGAAACUUCCCAGCUGUUCACACAUUCCUGCCCAUGCAAUUGGUACCCAUGAAUGGUUACCACUGGGUCCUCCCUAAUCAAUCAACUGGGCCUAGAAAUAAAGAUCUAUAAUAGGUUUCUGAAGGUGAGGACAGAUAAGGGAAAAUCAGAACUAGCAACCAGAUCUAGCACUGUGCUGUGUCCCCUUCAUCCCUCAAAAUACAGAGAAGGCAAGCGAGGUUCCAUCUCUUGGUUUCUUGUUACUGCUGAGUUCCCAGAUACUAAUAUUCCACCUGCCAAAGGCACCAGAACAUGCGAAGACAAGAAGAGACUUUAAACACGGGAAUAAACAAAGCUUGAUAAAGCAUUUCCUUUAGCCUAAUAAAAAGAGAGUUUCCUC